Molecule: small nucleolar RNA, 135 nt
Organism: Octodon degus (degu)
Lineage: Eukaryota; Metazoa; Chordata; Mammalia; Rodentia; Octodontidae
Source: Ensembl
CUGGUCAUGAAUCAAGGCUAGAAGUUUCCUAAAGAUGUUGGUUGCAAGUGGGGAACUAAUGUGGUAUCAUUUUAUGGUCUGCUGGCCAUUUGAACUUUAAAAAUAUAACAGUCAAUUCCUUGGCUAGAAAUAGCU